This 2003-nucleotide long non-coding RNA is filed under the name Hordeum vulgare. RNAcentral's name for it is "long non-coding RNA (HVUL_LNC015989)". Lineage: Eukaryota; Viridiplantae; Streptophyta; Magnoliopsida; Poales; Poaceae. The record is from RNAcentral.
GCAAGUGCAUCAUUUAAUAUAACAGCAAGUGCAUCAUUUAAUAUAACGUAUGAUCCAGAAUUUAUAAAAUAUAACAAUCUGCAUAGCACUUAGCUAGCUUUAUUCUAGUAAACAGCGGAAAAGUAGCAGAAUAAUAACGAUGAGUCCCAUCAUAGCCCACUGGCGAUGUUGAGUGAAGACUCGCGACCCUAACGGUACCUUACUCCUCGUCUGAAUAUCCUGCAACAUGAUACGUUGUAGCCAUAUAGGUCAAUACUUUGAAUGUAUUGGCAAGUUACACAAGAAAAGAUAAUAUAACAGACCUACAUGUAUAUGCAUAGUAUAACAAAAGAAAGGCUGACGGUUAUUUUGCAGAAAGCUGACUUUAUCCUCAUAGCUACCUAAUAGUCAAGUUUUAAAUUUGUUUGCUACAAUAACUUAUAUAUGGUUGAAUUGGCAUCUCCAACUCCAACCUAUUACCAUUAUUAAGUUCCCCAUCAAGUUUUAUUAAGUGUGUCAUCUGUCAAGAUCAUCCAACAACUGUAAUGGCCUAGCUGCUCAAAAUUGUCCAUAACCGGGGACACGGCUAAUCAUGAUUAGUUUAUACACUCUGCAGAGGUUAGUACGCUGUACCCACUGGACCCAACCCGAAGAUUGAGACGAAGUCUUUCAGAAGCAGUCACCUAGUCCCACAGGAGGCCCAUCCCACCUAUCAUAGCUACAUCAGCUGGCACAUCCGGGUAAGGUUUCCACGACUGAUCAACUAAGCCAGAGCCCAUAAUAGCCAGUGGUCGCACAAGGAAGCUACUAGUCACUAAGUCUGUCUGAUCUUUUUGAACCUGGGCGGCAUUCCACUUACAUUCAGAGGGUAGAAACCAUGAUGUUCUUGAAACCACCCAGCAAUACCAUAUCCGCCCAGAGGUGUAUUAUAUCCUGAAUUACUACUCAAAUUUAUUUUGUAGUAAUCCUCACAUAAUCUCAAUGAAUACAGGAACCAAUCCCCGUCUACAUAGCAUAGCAAAAUAUAUCUAGCACGAUCUUUCAAUGACGAGGGGAUAUAGCUCAAUAGCAUAGCAAUAAUAAUCUUCCUAUACAUGCAUAAUUUUCAUAGGGUGAUAUAAUACUACAUGCAUAGAAAAAUAAUAGGUAAAGGAUGAUCAACAUGUAACUUGCCUUGAUUCUGGUUCAGAAGGUCACACUCCUGACAAUAGUUUGCGUCGCACUCCGCACAAUCUACACGUUGCAAACAAUCACACCAAUCAAUCACCACAAUCAAAUAACACAAAAUAAAAUCAUCGGCAAUAAAACAACUUGUUUAAAACCAAAGCAUAAAUAGCAUGGCAGCAGAUAAAAUCAUCUACAUGCUGAUACGAUGACAACGCAAAAAGAAUCAACUAAACCAGAUGAACAGUUUGCAAAAUAUGGCCUCCGGUAGGUUAAAAUAAUCUGUUUUAACAAAAAAAUUAAUUUUCGUAAAACUGAAAACUACUGGUUCUAACAUGUUCUACUCAUCAAUACGAGAUCACAGGAAAAAUAAUUUCCUGAAUCGGAGUUACGAGUAAAAAGAUAAACGCGUUUCAAAAUUAUACCGAGAAUCUGACAGAGCUAAAACAGAUUAAAAACAGAUUGAAUUUCGCCCAGAAGUUGUUCAUCAGGACUUGAUGAAACGGCUCGUGCGUGCGUUCUCACCACGAACAGCGGGGAAAAACGGAACCGUCUCGGUGUGGCUCCUCCGAUGAUGCUCCGGUGGUGGUCGAACGGACUCCGGUGACGGCGGCUCCGCGAACUCCGACGAACACGGACGAACUUGGACGUGCACGGCGUGUUCUUGCGAAGCUCGAUGCUGCUGUGCGUGCGAGGCGGCGGCGCUUUGCGAAUCGGAAGCAAGGGCUUCUGAGUCUGGGGCUUUAUCGCGAGGAAACCUGGGGCGAGUCGGUUUGGGAAAAGGAGCAGCCUCCUAGUCCGCCUCGGGAUAGGAACUAGGAGUCCUUGGCGAAUCUUGGGCAGGAGAAAACAAAAGAAAA